RNAcentral lists this ribosomal RNA (521 nucleotides) under uncultured bacterium. RNAcentral describes it as "bacterial SSU rRNA". It matches the Rfam family "Archaeal small subunit ribosomal RNA", at positions 345 to 866 of the family's 1478-position model. The record is from RNAcentral.
AACCUCCGCAAUGUGAGAAAUCGCGACGGGGGGAUCCCAAGUGCCAUUCUUAACGGGAUGGCUUUUCAUUAGUGUAAAGAGCUUUUGGAAUAAGGGCUGGGCAAGACCGGUGCCAGCCGCCGCGGUAACACCGGCAGCUCUAGUGGUAGCAGUUUUUAUUGGGCCUAAAGCGUCCGUAGCCGGUUUAAUAAGUCUCUGGUGAAAUCCUGUAGCUUAACUGUGGGAAUUGCUGGAGAUACUAUUAGACUUGAGACCGGGAGAGGUUAGAGGUACUCCCAGGGUAGAGGUGAAAUUCUGUAAUCCUGGGAGGACCGCCUGUUGCGAAGGCGUCUAACUGGAACGGUUCUGACGGUGAGGGACGAAAGUUGGGGGCGCGAACCGGAUUAGAUACCCGGGUAGUCCUAACUGUAAACGAUGCGGACUUGGUGUUGGGGUGGCUUUGAGCUGCUCCAGUGCCGAAGGGAAGCUGUUAAGUCCGCCGCCUGGGAAGUACGGUCGCAAGACUAAAACUUAAAGGAAUU